UGCAGUCGAACGGUAACAGGAAGAAGCUUGCUUCUUUGCUGACGAGUGGCGGACGGGUGAGUAAUGUCUGGGAAACUGCCUGAUGGAGGGGGAUAACUACUGGAAACGGUAGCUAAUACCGCAUAACGUCGCAAGACCAAAGAGGGGGACCUUCGGGCCUCUUGCCAUCGGAUGUGCCCAGAUGGGAUUAGCUAGUAGGUGGGGUAACGGCUCACCUAGGCGACGAUCCCUAGCUGGUCUGAGAGGAUGACCAGCCACACUGGAACUGAGACACGGUCCAGACUCCUACGGGAGGCAGCAGUGGGGAAUAUUGCACAAUGGGCGCAAGCCUGAUGCAGCCAUGCCGCGUGUAUGAAGAAGGCCUUCGGGUUGUAAAGUACUUUCAGCGGGGAGGAAGGGAGUAAAGUUAAUACCUUUGCUCAUUGACGUUACCCGCAGAAGGAGCACCGGCUAACUCCGUGCCAGCAGCCGCGGUAAUACGGAGGGUGCAAGCGUUAAUCGGAAUUACUGGGCGUAAAGCGCACGCAGGCGGUUUGUUAAGUCAGAUGUGAAAUCCCCGGGCUCAACCUGGGAACUGCAUCUGAUACUGGCAAGCUUGAGUCUCGUAGAGGGGGGUAGAAUUCCAGGUGUAGCGGUGAAAUGCGUAGAGAUCUGGAGGAAUACCGGUGGCGAAGGCGGCCCCCUGGACGAAGACUGACGCUCAGGUGCGAAAGCGU
RNAcentral lists this ribosomal RNA (716 nucleotides) under uncultured bacterium. RNAcentral describes it as "bacterial SSU rRNA". It matches the Rfam family "Bacterial small subunit ribosomal RNA", at positions 56 to 762 of the family's 1533-position model. The record is from RNAcentral.